GGAAAUGUGGCUUAGUGGUUGAGUGCUUGCCUAGCAUGCAUGAAGCCCUGGGUUCGAUUCCUCAGUACCA
Molecule: transfer RNA, 70 nt
Filed under: Dipodomys ordii (Ord's kangaroo rat)
Lineage: Eukaryota; Metazoa; Chordata; Mammalia; Rodentia; Heteromyidae
Rfam family: tRNA
About the family: Transfer RNA (tRNA) molecules are approximately 80 nucleotides in length.
Source: Rfam by way of RNAcentral